GUCCAGUCCGGUCCAACUGUCCAGUCCGGUCCAACUGUCCAGUCUGGUCCAACUGUCCAGUCCAGUCCAACUGUCCAGUCCAGUCAUAGCCAGUCCAGUCCAUGUUUAUUGCCAAAUGCUUCUAAAGCAGCGGCUACACAUAUUUAUGUUUAUUCAGGCCAAAAAAAAAAUGUGGGUUUCCGGUUUCCCGACCCUACAGUACCUAGCUUUUGGACGUCGAAAUCCCAACCCUAAACUUUUUUAUUGGAUCAUGCUUGUAAGUGUUUCCACUUAGAGGAAAAAGUUUGUGGAAAAUUGAAAUUUGAGGCAAUAUUAGGCAAAUUUAUCUUUGGAUGUGGAAGCACUGACUAAACAAAAUGGCGUCCGGUUGUUCGGAAAAUUAAAAAAAAAGUUUAAAAAAAAAGUUAAAACCGACCUACCCUACCUAAGUUUUUAUAAGAAGAAACCGGAAACCCACAUAUUUUUUUUGCCUCAAUCUUCCUAACUUGUAAAAUCAUUUCCAUCGCUUUUCCUUGAAGAAUUAGAACAACUUAAGGCCAAUGAAAAUUGAUAUCAUGUUUCUCGUCCACAAUUUUCAAAAAUUUG
Non-coding RNA from Paramuricea clavata, 585 nucleotides. The record is from the annotation of a GenBank genome assembly. Lineage: Eukaryota; Metazoa; Cnidaria; Anthozoa; Malacalcyonacea; Plexauridae.